GACGAACGCUGGCGGCGUGCUUAACACAUGCAAGUCGAGCGAUGAAGCACCUUCGGGUGUGAAUUAGCGGCGAACGGGUGAGGAACACGUGAGAAAUCUGCCUUCAACACUGGGAUAACUCCGGGAAACCGGGGCUAAUACCGGAUAUGAAACCUGCGGGCAUCCGCGGGUUUGGAAAGUUUUUCGGUUGAAGAUGAUCUCGCGGCCUAUCAGCUUGUUGGUGAGGUAAUGGCUCACCAAGGCGACGACGGGUAGCCGGCCUGAGAGGGCGACCGGCCACACUGGAACUGAGGCACGGCCCAGACUCCUACGGGAGGCAGCAGUGGGGAAUAUUGGGCAAUGGAGGAAACUCUGACCCAGCGACGCCGCGUGCGGGAUGAAGGCCUUCGGGUUGUAAACCGCUUUCAGCAGGGAAGAAGCGAAAGUGACGGUACCUGCAGAAGAAGCACCGGCUAACUAUGUGCCAGCCGCCGCCGUAA
Molecule: ribosomal RNA, 479 nt
Filed under: uncultured bacterium
Lineage: Bacteria
Description: partial 16S ribosomal RNA
Rfam family: Bacterial small subunit ribosomal RNA
Source: RNAcentral